This 300-nucleotide ribosomal RNA is filed under the name uncultured Jeotgalibacillus sp. Its description in RNAcentral is "bacterial SSU rRNA". It matches the Rfam family "Bacterial small subunit ribosomal RNA", at positions 496 to 795 of the family's 1533-position model. Lineage: Bacteria; Bacillati; Bacillota; Bacilli; Caryophanales; Caryophanaceae. The record is from RNAcentral.
GCUAACUACGUGCCAGCAGCCGCGGUAAUACGUAGGUGGCAAGCGUUGUCCGGAAUUAUUGGGCGUAAAGCGCGCGCAGGUGGUUCCAAAAGUCUGAUGUGAAAGCCCCCGGCUCAACCGGGGAGGGUCAUUGGAAACUGGGGAACUUGAGUGCAGGAGAGGAAAGUGGAAUUCCACGUGUAGCGGUGAAAUGCGUAGAUAUGUGGAGGAACACCAGUGGCGAAGGCGACUUUCUGGCCUGUAACUGACACUGAGGCGCGAAAGCGUGGGGAGCAAACAGGAUUAGAUACCCCUGUAGUC